UUAAGCGACUAAGCGUACACGGUGGAUGCCCUGGCAGUCAGAGGCGAUGAAGGACGUGCUAAUCUGCGAUAAGCGUCGGUAAGGUGAUAUGAACCGUUAUAACCGGCGAUUUCCGAAUGGGGAAACCCAGUGUGAUUCGUCACACUAUCAUUAACUGAAUCCAUAGGUUAAUGAGGCGAACCGGGGGAACUGAAACAUCUAAGUACCCCGAGGAAAAGAAAUCAACCGAGAUUCCCCCAGUAGCGGCGAGCGAACGGGGAGGAGCCCAGAGCCUGAAUCAGUGUGUGUGUUAAGCGUCUGGAAAGGCGCGCGAUACAGGGUGACAGCCCCGUACACAAAAAUGCACAUGCUGUGAGCUCGAUGAGUAGGGCGGGACACGUGGUAUCCUGUCUGAAUAUGGGGGGACCAUCCUCCAAGGCUAAAUACUCCUGACUGACCGAUAGUGAACCAGUACCGUGAGGGAAAGGCGAAAAGAACCCCGGCGAGGGGAGUGAAAAAGAACCUGAAACCGUGUACGUACAAGCAGUGGGAGCACGCUUAGGCGUGUGACUGCGUACCUUUUGUAUAAUGGGUCAGCGACUUAUAUUCUGUAGCAAGGUUAACCGAAUAGGGGAGCCGAAGGGAAACCGAGUCUUAACUGGGCGUUAAGUUGCAGGGUAUAGACCCGAAACCCGGUGAUCUAGCCAUGGGCAGGUUGAAGGUUGGGUAACACUAACUGGAGGACCGAACCGACUAAUGUUGAAAAAUUAGCGGAUGACUUGUGGCUGGGGGUGAAAGGCCAAUCAAACCGGGAGAUAGCUGGUUCUCCCCGAAAGCUAUUUAGGUAGCGCCUCGUGAAUUCAUCUCCGGGGGUAGAGCACUGUUUCGGCAAGGGGGUCAUCCCGACUUACCAACCCGAUGCAAACUGCGAAUACCGGAGAAUGUUAUCACGGGAGACACACGGCGGGUGCUAACGUCCGUCGUGAAGAGGGAAACAACCCAGACCGCCAGCUAAGGUCCCAAAGUCAUGGUUAAGUGGGAAACGAUGUGGGAAGGCCCAGACAGCCAGGAUGUUGGCUUAGAAGCAGCCAUCAUUUAAAGAAAGCGUAAUAGCUCACUGGUCGAGUCGGCCUGCGCGGAAGAUGUAACGGGGCUAAACCAUGCACCGAAGCUGCGGCAGCGACGCUGAUGCGUUGUUGGGUAGGGGAGCGUUCUGUAAGCCUGCGAAGGUGUGCUGUGAGGCAUGCUGGAGGUAUCAGAAGUGCGAAUGCUGACAUAAGUAACGAUAAAGCGGGUGAAAAGCCCGCUCGCCGGAAGACCAAGGGUUCCUGUCCAACGUUAAUCGGGGCAGGGUGAGUCGACCCCUAAGGCGAGGCCGAAAGGCGUAGUCGAUGGGAAACAGGUUAAUAUUCCUGUACUUGGUGUUACUGCGAAGGGGGGACGGAGAAGGCUAUGUUGGCCGGGCGACGGUUGUCCCGGUUUAAGCGUGUAGGCUGGUUUUCCAGGCAAAUCCGGAAAAUCAAGGCUGAGGCGUGAUGACGAGGCACUACGGUGCUGAAGCAACAAAUGCCCUGCUUCCAGGAAAAGCCUCUAAGCAUCAGGUAACAUCAAAUCGUACCCCAAACCGACACAGGUGGUCAGGUAGAGAAUACCAAGGCGCUUGAGAGAACUCGGGUGAAGGAACUAGGCAAAAUGGUGCCGUAACUUCGGGAGAAGGCACGCUGAUAUGUAGGUGAAGCGACUUGCUCGUGGAGCUGAAAUCAGUCGAAGAUACCAGCUGGCUGCAACUGUUUAUUAAAAACACAGCACUGUGCAAACACGAAAGUGGACGUAUACGGUGUGACGCCUGCCCGGUGCCGGAAGGUUAAUUGAUGGGGUUAGCGCAAGCGAAGCUCUUGAUCGAAGCCCCGGUAAACGGCGGCCGUAACUAUAACGGUCCUAAGGUAGCGAAAUUCCUUGUCGGGUAAGUUCCGACCUGCACGAAUGGCGUAAUGAUGGCCAGGCUGUCUCCACCCGAGACUCAGUGAAAUUGAACUCGCUGUGAAGAUGCAGUGUACCCGCGGCAAGACGGAAAGACCCCGUGAACCUUUACUAUAGCUUGACACUGAACAUUGAGCCUUGAUGUGUAGGAUAGGUGGGAGGCUUUGAAGUGUGGACGCCAGUCUGCAUGGAGCCGACCUUGAAAUACCACCCUUUAAUGUUUGAUGUUCUAACGUGGACCCGUAAUCCGGGUUGCGGACAGUGUCUGGUGGGUAGUUUGACUGGGGCGGUCUCCUCCUAAAGAGUAACGGAGGAGCACGAAGGUUGGCUAAUCCUGGUCGGACAUCAGGAGGUUAGUGCAAUGGCAUAAGCCAGCUUGACUGCGAGCGUGACGGCGCGAGCAGGUGCGAAAGCAGGUCAUAGUGAUCCGGUGGUUCUGAAUGGAAGGGCCAUCGCUCAACGGAUAAAAGGUACUCCGGGGAUAACAGGCUGAUACCGCCCAAGAGUUCAUAUCGACGGCGGUGUUUGGCACCUCGAUGUCGGCUCAUCACAUCCUGGGGCUGAAGUAGGUCCCAAGGGUAUGGCUGUUCGCCAUUUAAAGUGGUACGCGAGCUGGGUUUAGAACGUCGUGAGACAGUUCGGUCCCUAUCUGCCGUGGGCGCUGGAGAACUGAGGGGGGCUGCUCCUAGUACGAGAGGACCGGAGUGGACGCAUCACUGGUGUUCGGGUUGUCAUGCCAAUGGCACUGCCCGGUAGCUAAAUGCGGAAGAGAUAAGUGCUGAAAGCAUCUAAGCACGAAACUUGCCCCGAGAUGAGUUCUCCCUGACUCCUUGAGAGUCCUGAAGGAACGUUGAAGACGACGACGUUGAUAGGCCGGGUGUGUAAGCGCAGCGAUGCGUUGAGCUAACCGGUACUAAUGAACCGUGAGGCUUAACCU
This 2896-nucleotide ribosomal RNA is filed under the name Escherichia coli. RNAcentral describes it as "bacterial LSU rRNA". It matches the Rfam family "Bacterial large subunit ribosomal RNA". Lineage: Bacteria; Pseudomonadati; Pseudomonadota; Gammaproteobacteria; Enterobacterales; Enterobacteriaceae. The record is from RNAcentral.